CAGGCCUAACACAUGCAAGUCGAGCGGACCAUUCCUUCGGGGAUGGUUAGCGGCGGACGGGUGAGUAACACGUAGGCAACCUGCCUGUAAGAUCGGGAUAACUACCGGAAACGGUAGCUAAGACCGGAUAGCUGGUUUCUCCGCAUGGGGGAAUCAUGAAACACGGGGCAACCUGUGGCUUACGGAUGGGCCUGCGGCGCAUUAGCUAGUUGGUGGGGUAACGGCCCACCAAGGCGACGAUGCGUAGCCGACCUGAGAGGGUGAUCGGCCACACUGGGACUGAGACACGGCCCAGACUCCCACGGGAGGCAGCAGUAGGGAAUCUUCCGCAAUGGGCGCAAGCCUGACGGAGCAACGCCGCGUGAGUGAUGAAGGUUUUCGGAUCGUAAAGCUCUGUUGCCAAGGAAGAACGCCUCGGAGAGUAACUGCUCUGAGGGUGACGGUACUUGAGAAGAAAGCCCCGGCUAACUACGUGCCAGCAGCCGCGGUAAUACGUAGGGGGCAAGCGUUGUCCGGAAUUAUUGGGCGUAAAGCGCGCGCAGGCGGUCUUUUAAGUUUGGUGUUUAAGCCCGGGGCUCAACCCCGGUUCGCACUGAAAACUGGGAGACUUGAGUGCAGGAGAGGAAAGCGGAAUUCCACGUGUAGCGGUGAAAUGCGUAGAGAUGUGGAGGAACACCAGUGGCGAAGGCGGCUUUCUGGACUGUAACUGACGCUGAGGCGCGAAAGCGUGGGGAGCAAACAGGAUUAGAU
This 750-nucleotide ribosomal RNA is filed under the name uncultured bacterium. RNAcentral describes it as "bacterial SSU rRNA". It matches the Rfam family "Bacterial small subunit ribosomal RNA", at positions 43 to 783 of the family's 1533-position model. The record is from RNAcentral.